UACGUAGGGGGCAAGCGUUGUCCGGAUUUAUUGGGCGUAAAGAGCGUGUAGGCGGUCUGGUAGGUCCGUUGUGAAAACUCGAGGCUCAACCUCGAGACGCCGAUGGAAACCCUCAGACUAGAGUCCGGAAGAGGAGAGUGGAAUUCCUGGUGUAGCGGUGAAAUGCGCAGAUAUCAGGAAGAACACCGGUGGCGAAGGCGGGUCUCUGGGCCGAAAUUGACGCUGAGGAGCGAAAGCGUGGGGAGCAAACAGG
This 253-nucleotide ribosomal RNA is filed under the name uncultured bacterium. RNAcentral's name for it is "partial 16S ribosomal RNA". It matches the Rfam family "Bacterial small subunit ribosomal RNA", at positions 524 to 776 of the family's 1533-position model. The record is from RNAcentral.